RNAcentral lists this ribosomal RNA (397 nucleotides) under uncultured bacterium. Its description in RNAcentral is "partial 16S ribosomal RNA". It matches the Rfam family "Bacterial small subunit ribosomal RNA", at positions 523 to 918 of the family's 1533-position model. The record is from RNAcentral.
AUACGUAGGGAGCGAGCGUUGUCCGGAAUGAUUGGGCGUAAAGGGCGCGUAGGCGGCCUGUUAAGUCUGGAGUGAAAGUCCUGUUUUCAAGAUGGGAAUUGCUUUGGAUACUGAUGGGCUUGAGUGCAGGAGAGGUUAUCGGAAUUCCCGGUGUAGCGGUGAAAUGCGUAGAGAUCGGGAGGAACACCAGUGGCGAAGGCGGGUAACUGGACUGCAACUGACGCUGAGGCGCGAAAGUGUGGGGAGCAAACAGGAUUAGAUACCCUGGUAGUCCACACUGUAAACGAUGAAUGCUAGGUGUAAGAGGUAUCGACCCCUUUUGUGCCGGAGUUAACACAAUAAGCAUUCCGCCUGGGGAGUACGGCCGCAAGGUUGAAACUCAAAUGAAUUGACGGGG